UAUGUAUAUAGAUAUCAAUAAUUUGCGUUAUUGAUUUUCCUAUUUGGAAUAGCACCUGGUAGUACUAUAUGAAUUCACACAAGUGACAGUGAAAAAAUAUUAUUAUGUUGAAUAUUGACAAGCAUCGUUUUAUCAAUCGUAUCGGCGCAAAGGUGAUAAACGUAUUUAUCAUUUCUGCGAGAAGGAAAGGUCUUUGAAUAGGAAUUUACGUCAAGCAAACUAAAUGCACGUGGACAAAUAUAAAUGUGUUUGAAAUUCAUGAUAGAUUACCUUCAAACGUGAAGCGAGCAAACAUAAAUAAAGUGAGUGUACCGCUUGAUAAACGGAGAAAAAAGUAAAAUAUAAGCAAACGUCGUAUUAUCAACUACUUAUAUUUUUAUCAUAAAUUAUUUUAUUAUUAUUAUUCGUACCAUGUAUUUCGCUGAUAUACGAAACGUAUAUGUAAUAAUUCAUGCAGUUUAUUUUGCGGUAAUCAAUACGUAAAUAUAUUCUCAAAAUGAUUGAUGACGUACGAGAGUUUGUGGAAAGAUUCAAAUGUUUGAUAGAAGCCUGUGAAACCAGAUUUUCCACAAAGAGAACUUUUAUACCAAUCGAAGUAUACAAUACAAAAUUAUUUCGUAUCACGUACUAUAGAAAUUAUUUCAUUAAUUUUUGAUACUUAUAUCACACACCCGAUUUUACACGUUUGAUUCCAAAUACAAUUUAAUUAGCGAAAUGUUGUGAAACGAUUUAAUUAAUACGCUUGUUCAUCGUGAAAACGGUAGGAAACUAUAUCUGUAUAUAGUAAAAGAAAAGAACAUUACGUAUUUAUUAUCCGCACAAACAGUUCUUAUCGUUAGUAUUUCUCUUACCUCUGGUUAUUAAAUACUCGUAUUUCUGCUUCUACGAAUGGAAGUAAGAUUUCAUUCUAAAUAGAAACCGUAUAAUGAGGGAAAAUACGAAUGAACAGGCCAGUCGAGUGAAGUUUGUUUGAAAAUCCUGAUGCUACAAAGAAGAUAGAGCACUUUCAGAAUGCGAAAGUAGAUCAUCGAUCGUGUCAACAUCUCCAUCGAAAGUUGGAUGCCGCAAGAAUUUGAAAUUAAGCUGGCAGCAGGAAUUGCGGGGGUGGAAACGGAUGUAAUAUCGAGCAACAAGCACGCCAAGGUUCUCGGAGUAUGAGCGUUGUAAUUUGACCGAUGCUUCGAUCGACGCUUCCUUUGUCCGAGCAUCUCGAAAUUGUUCAACUAUUACGAUUAUCAACUACCAUAUCACAUGACAAUAAAAUAAAAUUAAUAGAUAGAAGACGAAAUAAACUGAACCAUUUUCGUGUUGCUAUAAUAAAAUAUCGCCUUAAUUUGACCAGUAAAAUUAAAUGAAAUUUGUUCAAGCAUAGCACAAUGUAAAUUAAAACGCAUAAAACAAUAUUAAACGCUAUUUUAAAACGUA
Molecule: long non-coding RNA, 1425 nt
Organism: Bombus terrestris (buff-tailed bumblebee)
Lineage: Eukaryota; Metazoa; Arthropoda; Insecta; Hymenoptera; Apidae
Exons: 2
Source: RefSeq, a predicted model, not a curated record